RNAcentral lists this ribosomal RNA (550 nucleotides) under uncultured bacterium. RNAcentral's name for it is "bacterial SSU rRNA". It matches the Rfam family "Bacterial small subunit ribosomal RNA", at positions 355 to 896 of the family's 1533-position model. The record is from RNAcentral.
UAGGGAAUCUUCGGCAAUGGGGGCAACCCUGACCGAGCAACGCCGCGUGAGUGAAGAAGGUUUUCGGAUCGUAAAGCUCUGUUGUAAGUCAAGAACGAGUGUGAGAGUGGAAAGUUCACACUGUGACGGUAGCUUACCAGAAAGGGACGGCUAACUACGUGCCAGCAGCCGCGGUAAUACGUAGGUCCCGAGCGUUGUCCGGAUUUAUUGGGCGUAAAGCGAGCGCAGGCGGUUUGAUAAGUCUGAAGUUAAAGGCUGUGGCUCAACCAUAGUUCGCUUUGGAAACUGUCAAACUUGAGUGCAGAAGGGGAGAGUGGAAUUCCAUGUGUAGCGGUGAAAUGCGUAGAUAUAUGGAGGAACACCGGUGGCGAAAGCGGCUCUCUGGUCUGUAACUGACGCUGAGGCUCGAAAGCGUGGGGAGCGAACAGGAUUAGAUACCCUGGUAGUCCACGCCGUAAACGAUGAGUGCUAGGUGUUGGAUCCUUUCCGGGAUUCAGUGCCGCAGCUAACGCAUUAAACACUCCGCCUGGGGAGUACGACCGCAAGGUUG